UACAGAGGUCUCGAGCGUUAGGCGGAAUCACUGGGCUUAAAGCGUGUGUAGGCGGAUCGGUAAGUACCUUGUGAAAUCCCACAGCUUAACUGUGGAACUGCUUGGUAUACUGCCAGUCUUGAGCCAGCUAGGGGCGACCGGAACAAAUGGUGGAGCGGUGAAAUGCGUAGAUAUCAUUUGGAACGCCAAUGGUGAAAACAGGUCGCUGGGGCUGUGCUGACGCUGAGACACGAAAGCCAGGGGAGCAAACGGG
Molecule: ribosomal RNA, 253 nt
Filed under: uncultured bacterium
Lineage: Bacteria
Description: partial 16S ribosomal RNA
Rfam family: Bacterial small subunit ribosomal RNA
Source: RNAcentral